UACGGAAGGUGCAAGCGUUGUUCGGAUUGACUGGGCGUAAAGAGCACGUAGGCGGGUCUGUAAGUCGAUUGUGAAAGCCCCGGGCUUAACCUGGGAAUGGCAGUCGAAACUGCAGAUCUUGAAUGCCCGAGGGGUUAGUGGAAUUCCAGGUGUAGGAGUGAAAUCCGUAGAUAUCUGGAGGAACACCGGAGGCGAAGGCGGCUAACUGGUGGUGCAUUGACGCUGAGGUGCGAAAGCGUGGGGAGCAAACAGG
RNAcentral lists this ribosomal RNA (253 nucleotides) under uncultured bacterium. RNAcentral describes it as "partial 16S ribosomal RNA". It matches the Rfam family "Bacterial small subunit ribosomal RNA", at positions 524 to 776 of the family's 1533-position model. The record is from RNAcentral.